UACGUAGGGGGCAAGCGUUGUCCGGAAUCAUUGGGCGUAAAGAGCGUGUAGGCGGCCCGAUAAGUCCGCUGUGAAAGUCCAGGGCUCAACCCUGGGAUGCCGGUGGAUACUGUCGGGCUCGAGUCCGGAAGAGGAGUGUGGAAUUCCUGGUGUAGCGGUGAAAUGCGUAGAUAUCUGGAGGAACACCGGUGGCGAAGGCGGCAUCCUGGACCGAGAUCGACGCUGAGGCGCGAAAGCUAGGGGAGCAAACGGG
RNAcentral lists this ribosomal RNA (253 nucleotides) under uncultured bacterium. RNAcentral's name for it is "partial 16S ribosomal RNA". It matches the Rfam family "Bacterial small subunit ribosomal RNA", at positions 524 to 776 of the family's 1533-position model. The record is from RNAcentral.